This 512-nucleotide ribosomal RNA is filed under the name uncultured bacterium. RNAcentral describes it as "partial 16S ribosomal RNA". It matches the Rfam family "Bacterial small subunit ribosomal RNA", at positions 355 to 853 of the family's 1533-position model. The record is from RNAcentral.
UGGGGAAUUUUGGACAAUGGGCGAAAGCCUGAUCCAGCCAUGCCGCGUGCAGGAUGAAGGCCUUCGGGUUGUAAACUGCUUUUGUACGGAACGAAAAGACUCUGGUUAAUACCUGGGGUCCAUGACGGUACCGUAAGAAUAAGCACCGGCUAACUACGUGCCAGCAGCCGCGGUAGUACGUAGGGUGCAAGCGUUAAUCGGAAUUACUGGGCGUAAAGCGUGCGCAGGCGUUUAUAUAAGACAGAUGUGAAAUCCCCGGGCUCAACCUGGGAACUGCAUUUUGUGACUGUAUAGCUAGAAGUACGGCAGAGGGGGGAUGGAAUUUCCGCGUGUAGCAGUGAAAUGCGUAGAUAUGCGGAGGAACACCGAUGGCGAAGGCAAUCCCCUGGGCCUGUACUGACGCUCAUGCACGAAAAGCGUGGGGAGCAAAACAGGAUUAGAUACCCUGGUAGUCCACGCCCUAAACGAUGUCAACUGGGUUGUUGGGUCUUCACUGACUCAGUAACGAAGCU